CAGCACCUACUCUGCGCAGUAGCAGGUGAAGGUCCUGUAGACAGCCCUUCCUUGAGAGAGCAGAGAGGGCCCCAGGGAAGCAGAAGUACUCAGCUGGAGGCCCCGGGUCUGGGAGGAGAGGUCAGGUGGACUGUCAGAGGAAAGCAUGUAGGAUACAGUCCCUGGAGGUCCAGGAUUUGGGGGCCUCCGAGGUUCUUGACAGCUGUGACCCUUUGGGCUGGGAUGAUCCUGACAGAACAUCAGGUUCCCCAGCUCUGUCCCCUCUACAGUCUCUCCAGAAGAAGGGUCUGGGGGAAUCCGCCUUGCCCUGACUUCCCAUAAUAUUCAAACCAGAGUUCUUCGCAGUUCCUGGAGAGACCUACUCCCCCUACCCCAGAACAUGGGGCUCAAGAUACUUUAUGGAAACAAGUCCCAUCGCUCUAGACCGCCUGCGGGAAUCUUCCUCUGGGGAGACACAGCUCUGGCCUUGGAAUCUGUCACAGCUGGGUCUGAGCGUUGGCACUGCUGAUGUCUGGCGAUGGUGGCUGACACGGAGUCACUUUGUCCGCGGAGCUUUCAGUUUUCUGUACUGUCCAAUGGGGAGAAGAAGAGCAGCCUGGUGGGGAUACAAGGAUCCAGCAGCCCUCUGGAGGUGUCCACUGUGUAUCCGUGACAUCAGAUUGCUUUGGGGAACAAGAGGGAAGCCUCACGUGCAAGAGCCACCUCCUUCCUGCCAGGAGACUCAGCUGACUGACUUCCACUUUUGGAAGGUUCUCCCCUCUCAGCCACCUCUACUCACCCUACUGCUUUGUCUGAGCCAAGGAUCCCGCAGCUGAAGAUCACAGGGCAGAUCUUGGGAAGAAUUUCCUGAAGGAAUGUCUG
Molecule: long non-coding RNA, 861 nt
Organism: Mus musculus (house mouse)
Lineage: Eukaryota; Metazoa; Chordata; Mammalia; Rodentia; Muridae
Product: predicted gene, 32611
Exons: 5
Source: RefSeq, a predicted model, not a curated record